Molecule: ribosomal RNA, 344 nt
Filed under: Aeromonas hydrophila
Lineage: Bacteria; Pseudomonadati; Pseudomonadota; Gammaproteobacteria; Aeromonadales; Aeromonadaceae
Description: bacterial SSU rRNA
Rfam family: Bacterial small subunit ribosomal RNA
Source: RNAcentral
CUGGCUCAGGACGAACGCUGGCGGCAGGCCUAACACAUGCAAGUCGAGCGGCAGCGGGAAAGUAGCUUGCUACUUUUGCCGGCGAGCGGCGGACGGGUGAGUAAUGCCUGGGAAAUUGCCCAGUCGAGGGGGAUAACAGUUGGAAACGACUGCUAAUACCGCAUACGCCCUACGGGGGAAGCAGGGGACCUUCGGGCCUUGCGCGAUUGGAUAUGCCCAGGUGGGAUUAGCUAGUUGGUGAGGUAAUGGCUCACCAAGGCGACGAUCCCUAGCUGGUCUGAGAGGAUGAUCAGCCACACUGGAACUGAGACACGGUCCAGACUCCUACGGGAGGCAGCAGUAGG